UCUGCUGGAUCAGUGGCGAACGGGUGAGUAACACGUGAGCAAUCUGCCCCUGACUCUGGGAUAAGCGCUGGAAACGGCGUCUAAUACCGGAUACGAGCUGCGAAGGCAUCUUCAGCAGCUGGAAAGAACUUCGGUCAGGGAUGAGCUCGCGGCCUAUCAGCUAGUUGGUGAGGUAACGGCUCACCAAGGCGUCGACGGGUAGCCGGCCUGAGAGGGUGACCGGCCACACUGGGACUGAGACACGGCCCRGACUCCUACGGGAGGCAGCAGUGGGGAAUAUUGCACAAUGGGCGAAAGCCUGAUGCAGCAACGCCGCGUGAGGGACGACGGCCUUCGGGUUGUAAACCUCUUUUACAGGAAGAAGCGAAAUGACCGUACCUGCAGAAAACGCCGGGUACUACGUGCCAGCAGCCGCGUAAUCGUAAGGGCCAACGUUUCCGGAAUAAUGGGCGUAAACUCGUAGCGGUUGUCCG
RNAcentral lists this ribosomal RNA (473 nucleotides) under Microbacterium lacticum. RNAcentral describes it as "bacterial SSU rRNA". It matches the Rfam family "Bacterial small subunit ribosomal RNA", at positions 83 to 582 of the family's 1533-position model. The record is from RNAcentral. Lineage: Bacteria; Bacillati; Actinomycetota; Actinomycetes; Micrococcales; Microbacteriaceae.